This 254-nucleotide ribosomal RNA is filed under the name uncultured bacterium. RNAcentral's name for it is "partial 16S ribosomal RNA". It matches the Rfam family "Bacterial small subunit ribosomal RNA", at positions 524 to 776 of the family's 1533-position model. The record is from RNAcentral.
UACGUAGGGGGCUAGCGUUGUCCGGAUUUACUGGGCGUAAAGGGCGCGUAGGCGGCCACCGCAAGUCGACUGUGAAAUCUCCGGGCUUAACCCGGAAAGGUCAGCCGAUACUGCGGGGCUAGAGUGCAGAAGGGGCAACUGGAAUUCUCGGUGUAGCGGUGAAAUGCGUAGAUAUCGAGAGGAACACCUGCGGCGAAGGCGGGUUGCUGGGCUGACACUGACGCUGAUGCGCGAAAGCUAGGGGAGCGAACGGG